This 74-nucleotide transfer RNA is filed under the name Pelecanus crispus (Dalmatian pelican). It matches the Rfam family "tRNA". Rfam says of the family: Transfer RNA (tRNA) molecules are approximately 80 nucleotides in length. Their secondary structure includes four short double-helical elements and three loops (D, anti-codon, and T loops). Further hydrogen bonds mediate the characteristic L-shaped molecular structure. tRNAs have two regions of fundamental functional importance: the anti-codon, which is responsible for specific mRNA codon recognition, and the 3' end, to which the tRNAs corresponding amino acid is attached (by aminoacyl-tRNA synthetases). tRNAs cope with the degeneracy of the genetic code in two manners: having more than one tRNA (with a specific anti-codon) for a particular amino acid; and 'wobble' base-pairing, i.e. permitting non-standard base-pairing at the 3rd anti-codon position. The record is from Rfam by way of RNAcentral. Lineage: Eukaryota; Metazoa; Chordata; Aves; Pelecaniformes; Pelecanidae.
GCUGGGUUAGGUCAGUUGGUUAGAGCAUGGUGCUAAUAACACCAAGUUCACAGGUUCAAUCCCUGCUUACUGCA